GAGGGCAUAGCUCAGUGGUAGAGUGCCUGCCUAAUGUGUACAGGGUCCUGGGUUCAAUUCCCAGUACAUCUG
Molecule: transfer RNA, 72 nt
Filed under: Camelus bactrianus (Bactrian camel)
Lineage: Eukaryota; Metazoa; Chordata; Mammalia; Artiodactyla; Camelidae
Also listed under: 2 other names
Rfam family: tRNA
About the family: Transfer RNA (tRNA) molecules are approximately 80 nucleotides in length.
Source: Rfam by way of RNAcentral